AGUUGAUUUUUUGUAGUAGGUAAUUGUAGUUGAGUAAAGCUCAUGGAGCAGAUCUGAUUCAAUUGUGUCUCAAUGUUGUGAAUGAAUGCGCUGAACUGUCGUAGUAGAUGGAGUGAUGUCACGGUUUUCGGAUUGGCCAGUUAUGUUGCUAUCGGUACACAUCGCGUUAGUAUGCGGCAUCGAGAGAUGUGUAUGGAAUGAUAACAUGCUUGAAUCAGCCUUCCUUCCUCUGAUUUGAGAGCUGGGUCGUGUUAAUUGUAUAUCAUGACGCUAGAUGUGUUCGUCGCUCUCAAUCCUUGGACACUGACGAUCGUUAUGCCUCCAGUCAAGGUUUUUCUUUAUGUCGUACGUUGGCGGAUAUCGCUCAAGAGCGCUUGCGUGCUGUGGACAUUGGGAAUUGCCCAAGAAUUAUAACUGACCAUGGAGUGGGGAUAGUCUUCCCGGGUACAUGCAACGGCAUCUGCUGCAACCAAGAAUUUGAUGGUCACCUCAGUUAUCGACGAGAUUAUUAAAGAUGAAUCAUCUAGGUACAUUUGUUUUGUAUUGGAGAUGUUUGAUUUCUCAAACCAACCAAGGGCGCUAAGUAGCUCAGUAUUCCGGAUUACGUAAGGUGCGCGCAUGAAUAAGUUUCAUGCAUGCACUGCUGCUCAUUUUAAGGAUUACUUGUGGACCGAAUCUUCUGAGCCGAAGAAUCCAGAUGCUUUUCAAAAUGUAUACCGACCACUUCCCUUGUUUUAUUCCAUGCGCACACUGAAAACCAAUCAACCAUCGCUCUUAGCCACCAACUCAACUCAGACCAGGGUAGCAUUUAAACAUCAUUAGUUGUUCUGUUCGUCAACAAAAGAAGUGUCUCCUGGCAACUGAGGCAAACGAGCUUCCUCUCCAUUCUAUGAUUACGAGCAUCAAAGUUGAGAAAACAGGAAAUUAGAAUUCCAAUUCACAUGCUUAUGAAAAGGUUCUAAUCCAACUAUCACCUAAACAAGAAAUGAAUAUUGACAUGUAGAAGUUAUCUGAAAAGUUUUGAAAUGACGAAUUUGCUUCUACUGAUGCUUUCAGAAUAUACGCUGAGGAGUGAUUAGAAAGAUGCUGACUUCCAAUCUGCUAAUGUUUUCAGAAGUGCUUAGAUUUCGCCACUAGUUAUGCCGAGUCUAAGGUCUCUGGUGGCUGCAACACAAGCUGCUCAGAGACUAAGCACAUUUAGGGUUUGUUACGACCAAUCGAAGUUCAAAAGAAUGGUAAGAUUUGCGGGCGAAGACAAGUUAAUUCUUCUGUUGCAGGACGGAAGACUUCCAGAAGGCCAGAUGGAAAGUUUGGAGGGUACCACGGACAUUGAAAUCCGACAUCUCUACACUCUUUCAAAAUUUUUCAGCCUUAUGAAGAGAGUAGUGAUGUGCAUGCACACCAAUGUCCAAUGCUGAUCUAAGGGGAGCAAUGAUUGAUCUUCGGUUCAGAGUGCAGAAGAGAAGAACAUCAGCGAAGUUGUACCACCCAUUUCCCGUUUCUGCAGCAGUAAGUUCUCAUUCCAAAACUUGCUGGCAACCAGGAAGAGCAUUCACACGCAAAACGUGAGACUUAUUGCGAGAUGUAACCACUCCGAAAUAGCUGCAUGCUUUUGUUUGGAAUAACCACUAGUAGAUACAAUUGUUGUGCAGCAAUUUGAGACCACGAGACAAUCGAAUCUGUAGGAAUACCAGACAAGAUCAUGAGCACUCUUGGUUCAUUCACAACUAUGGACGCCAAGUUCUGUGAUGACCCAAUAUGUUAUCAAUUAGAGCUAGAGUUUCACGAACCUUUUGUGCCGAUCGAUGCUACGGCUGAAGGAAACCGACUGUGCUAGACGAGCGUAACAGCUUAGGGUAAGCGUAGAAGGGAAGUCCUAUUUCAUGAAAAAGGUUACUCAUCUUUCAGCUCAAAUUGACGGUGUUUUAACCGACAUCUUUCAUGUACUUCAAAAUUUAAGUUGUCGAUU
Non-coding RNA from Physcomitrium patens, 1969 nucleotides. NCBI's taxonomy places the organism in Eukaryota, Viridiplantae, Streptophyta, Bryopsida, Funariales, Funariaceae. The record is from RefSeq and is a predicted model, not a curated record.